This 444-nucleotide ribosomal RNA is filed under the name uncultured bacterium. Its description in RNAcentral is "partial 16S ribosomal RNA". It matches the Rfam family "Bacterial small subunit ribosomal RNA", at positions 354 to 796 of the family's 1533-position model. The record is from RNAcentral.
GUAGGGAAUAUUGGGCAAUGGUCGGAAGACUGACCCAGCCAUGCCGCGUGCAGGAAGACGGCCCUCUGGGUUGUAAACUGCUUUUAUCUGGGAAGAAAAAGGCCAUGCGUGGCAAAUUGCCGGUACCAGAUGAAUAAGCACCGGCUAACUCCGUGCCAGCAGCCGCGGUAAUACGGAGGGUGCGAGCGUUGUCCGGAUUUAUUGGGUUUAAAGGGUGCGUAGGCGGCUGAUUAAGUCAGCGGUGAAAGACUUUGGCUUAACCGGAGCAGUGCCGUUGAUACUGGUUGGCUUGAGUGUCGGAGGGGUACAUGGAAUUGAUGGUGUAGCGGUGAAAUGCAUAGAUACCAUCAGGAACACCGAUAGCGAAGGCAUUGUACUGGCCGACAACUGACGCUGAUGCACGAAAGUGUGGGGAUCGAACAGGAUUAGAUACCCGAGUAGUCC